RNAcentral lists this ribosomal RNA (210 nucleotides) under uncultured bacterium. RNAcentral describes it as "partial 16S ribosomal RNA". It matches the Rfam family "Bacterial small subunit ribosomal RNA", at positions 524 to 734 of the family's 1533-position model. The record is from RNAcentral.
UACGUAGGGUGCUAGCGUUAUCCGGAUUUACUGGGCGUAAAGGGUGCGCAGGUGGUCUUUCAAGUCGGUGGUUAAAGGAUACGGCUCAACCGAAUUAAGCCGCCGAAACUGGAAGACUUGAGUGUAGGAGAGGAAAGGGGAAUUCCCAGUGUAGCGGUGAAAUGCGUAGAUAUUGGGAAGAACACCAGUGGCGAAGGCGGGUUUCUGGAC